Esox lucius (northern pike) is the source of this 1269-nucleotide long non-coding RNA. NCBI's taxonomy places the organism in Eukaryota, Metazoa, Chordata, Actinopteri, Esociformes, Esocidae. The record is from Ensembl.
AAGCUAAGAGUGCAGGUGUAUUAUCACCGUUUAUUUCUAUAAUUUGCGAUUUGAAAAUCUAUUGCUGGUGGACAGUGCUUGAAGUGGGGGAAAAAGGUGCCGGUGCUCUCUUUCAUUUGCAUGUCAUUACAUUUGAGAUUUUUACAGUGUCUAGCUCUGGCACCAGCGUUAUUUUAUUGCCUUUCUGAAGCCAGGCUAACAUGACUUAAAAUUUCAUAUUCGACACACUUUUUCUAAGUUUCUAGGUUUUGGAUUUCACCAGUGAAAAAUAUGUUUACGCUCAGGCGGAAGCCGCAGCCAUCAGAUAGGGUGAACCGACCAUAGACAUCCUAUUUAAAGGCUAGACGUCUCAUGGCGCACUCACUUCCGGCAUCACCGGUGGCCAUCUUAUCACAGGCAGGCUUCCUGUCGGGCUCUGUGGUACCUAAUAUAAGGUUCAGCCAGGACCACUUGGAGCUUCUCUUCAACUCCAUCAGAGUAUCUGAGGCAAUGUGACGGCACAGGAUGACACAGAGUCCCUACCAGUUGUCAUCGACACCUCUACAAGCCUGUCAGCUGUAGAUGUGUCCUCUGCAGCAGGAGGAGAAGAUCUUCCAUCCCCGUUUGCUGACAUUCCUGCCCUAGUACAUGAUCACAGCUACCUUCCCGUCCACUUCGAUGGUCUUGUGGACAACGCUCUCAUGUACAUUUCAGGCUCUGAAGAAGCUGUCGUGUGAUGUCUGCCGUGCAAGCCUGGUGACAUGCUGCAUCUGCCAUCAAGGACCAGAGCUACCACAUGCUGAAUUUAAAAACAAUGGAGCUCUGGUGAUUCCAUCAGAGGGAACCAUGAGUUUCAUCAGGGCAGCAGAGUGGGUCAUUCGGCAGUCAUCAGGCAGUACCAGAUGAUCACAGCCCAUCAAACUGCUUGAGGUUGUUUACAUUGUCUGAAAAAGGAUCGGUUCAGAGGAUGUUUGUGUUGGGAUAGACAUCCACCACCAUAGGCUGUUAAAAAUAAUUCUGUCCCUGUUUUUUAAGUUAAGGCUGCACCACAUCGCCAGAAUUACAAUCCUCAGCUUACAGAGCAACAACAUGUGACAGAAAUUUAAUAAAACUGUCCUUUUCAAAGGGCAUUAGCCCAAGGUAUGUGUUUUCAAGGUACUGUCCUCUUUUACUUCAACAGUAGUGUAGUGCUCUCUACAGCAUUUAUUUAUUUGUGUAUAUUUAAAUGAUUUAUUUAUAUUGUAAAGGGGAAUCAUGUACCUAUUUUUUGUGUGCAAAUAAAUGUCACUC